RNAcentral lists this ribosomal RNA (465 nucleotides) under uncultured bacterium. Its description in RNAcentral is "partial 16S ribosomal RNA". It matches the Rfam family "Bacterial small subunit ribosomal RNA", at positions 28 to 507 of the family's 1533-position model. The record is from RNAcentral.
GACGAACGCUGGCGGCGUGCUUAACACAUGCAAGUCGAACGGAAAGGCCCCUUCGGGGGUACUCGAGUGGCGAACGGGUGAGUAACACGGGAGUAACCUGCCCUUGACUUCGGGAUAACUUCAGGAAACUGGGGCUAAUACCGGGUAGGAAUCCUUGCUGCAUGGUGGGGGUUGGAAAGCUUCGGCGGUUUUGGAUGGACUCGCGGCUUAUCAGCUUGUUGGUGGGGUAGUGGCUUACCAAGGCUUUGACGGGUAGCCGGCCUGAGAGGGCGACCGGCCACAUUGGGACUGAGAUACGGCCCAGACUCCUACGGGAGGCAGCAGUGGGGAAUAUUGCACAAUGGGCGGAAGCCUGAUGCAGCAACGCCGCGUGCGGGAUGACGGCCUUCGGGUUGUAAACCGCUUUCAGCAGGGGCGAAGCUUGUGGUGACGGUACCUGCAGAAGAAGCACCGGCUAACUACGUG